CUAAGUUAUUCUGGGUGGUUGCUAGGGUGUUGCUAAGCAGUUGUUAGGGUGUUCUGGGUGGUUGCUAGGGUGUUCUGGGUGGUCGCUAGGUGUUCUAAGUGGUUGCUAGGGUAUUGCUAGGCGGUUGCUAGGGUGUUCUGGGUGGUUGCUCGGGUGUUGCUAAGCUGUUGCUAAGGUGUUCUGGAUGGUUACUAGGGUGUUGCUAGGGUGUUGCUAGGGUGUUAUGGGUGGUUGCUAUGGUGUUGCUAGGGUUUAAUAGAUGGUUAGACUGUUGCUAGGGUGUUAUGGGAGGUUGCUAUGGUGUUAUUGUAGUUGUUAGGCAGUUAUGGGUGGUUGCUAGGAUGUUAUGGUGAUUGCUAGUCUGUUAUGGGUGUUUGCUGGGGUGUUAUGGUGAUUGCUAGGCUGUUGCUAGGUGGUUGCUAGGGUAGGGUGAUAGCAAGUGUUCCAAUACUUUUAGCGCUAGACAGUGUUCCAAUACUUUUAGAGCCAGACCAUGUUCCAAUUCUUUGAGCUAGACAGCGUUCCAAUACUUUUGGAGCUAGACAGAGUUCCAAUACUUUUGCAGCUAGACAGUGUUCCAAUAAUCGUAGAGCCAGACCAUGUUCCAAUACUUUUGGACAGUGUUCCAAUAUUUUUUAGAGUUAGACAGUGUUCCAAUACUUUUAGCGCUAGACGGUGUUCCAAUACUUUUAGAGCCAGACCAUGUUCCAAUACUUUUGGACAGUGUUCCAAUAUUUUUUAGAGUUAGACAGCGUUCCAAUACUUUUAGUGCUAGACAGCAUUCCAAUACUUCUUUAGAGCUAGACAGAGUUACAAUACUUUUUUAGAAUUAGACAGCGUUCCAAUAUUUUUAGAGCUAGACAGUAUUCCAAUAUUUUUUAAAGCUAGACAGUGUUCCAAUACAUUUAGAGCUAGACAGUAUUCCAAUAUUUUUUAAAGCUAGACAGUGUUCCAAUACUUUUCAAAGUAGACAGUGUUCCAAUACUUUUAUAGCUAGACAGCGGUCCUAUACUUUGAGGUAAACAGCGUUCCAAUACUUUCAGAGCAAGACAGCAUUCCAAUAUUUUUAGAGCUUGUCAGCGUUCUAAUACUUUUAGAGCUAGAGAGCGUUCCAAUACUUUUCAUGCUAGACAGCAUUCCAAUAUUUUUAUAGCUAGACAGUGUUCCAAUACUUUGAGAUGGACAGUGUUCCAAUACUUUUAGAGCCAGACAGUAUUCCAAUAUUUUUUAGAGCUAGACAGUGGUCCAAUACUUUGAGCUAGACAGCGUUCCAAUACUUUUGGAGCUAGACAGAGUUCCAAUAUUUUUAGAGCUAGACAGCAUUCCAAUACUUUUAGAGCUAGACAGCCUUCCAAUAUUUUCAGAGCUAGACAGCCUUCCAAUAUUUUCAGAGCUAGACAGCCUUCCAGUAGUUUUGGAGCUAGACAGAGUUCAAAUACAUUUGGAGCUAGACAGAGUUCCAGUACUUUUGGACCUAGACAGCAUUCCUUUUUUUUGAGCUAGACAGCAUUCCAAUACUUUGAGCUAGAGAGUGUUCCAAUAUUUUUGGAGCUAGACUGCUUUCCAAUACUUUGAGAAUGCUGGGUGCUUGCUAGACUGUUACUACAUAGUUUAGAGGGUGUUCUGGGUUGUUUCUAGGGUGUAGCUAGAGUAUUCUGGGUGGUUGCUAGUGUGCUGCUAGGUGGCCGCUAAUGUGUUCUGAGUGGUUGCUAGGGCAUUGCUAGGCAGUUGCUAGGGUGUUCUGGGUGGUUGCUAGGCAGUUGCUUGGUGGUUGCUAGGGUGUUCUGGGAGGUUACUAGGGUGCUGCUAGGGGUUUGCUUGGGUGCUCUGUGUGGUUGCUAGGGUUUUCUGAGUGGUUGCUAGGGCAUUGCUAGGCAGUUGCUAGGGUGUUCUGGGUGGUUGCUAGGCAGUUGCUUGGUGGUUGCUAGGGUGUUCUGGGAGGUUACUAGGGUGCUGCUAGGGGUUUGCUUGGGUGCUCUGUGUGGUUGCUAGGGUUUUCUGAGUGGUUGCUAGGCGGUUGCUUGGUGAUUGCUAUAGUGUUCUGGGUGGUUGCUAGGGUGUUGUGGGUGGUUGCAAGGGUGUUGCUAGGGUUUUAUGGGUGGUUGCUUGACUGUUGCUAGGGUGUUGUGGGUGGUUACUUGUCUUGCUUGGGUGCUAUGGGUGGUUGUUAGGUUGUUAUGGGUGGUUGCUAGGGUAUUAUGGGUGGUUGCUGGGGUGUUAUAAUUGUUGCUAGGUUGUUGCUACGAUGUUAUGGGUAGUGGUUAGCUGUUUGUUAGGGUAGGGUGGUAUGCAGCAUUUCAAUACUUUCAGAGCCGGAAAGCGUUCCAAUACUUUUGGAGCCAGACAGCAUUCCAAUAUUUUUGGAGCUAGACAGCGUUCCAUUACUUUUGGAGCUAAACAACGUUCCAAUACUUUCAGAGGUAGACGGAGUUCCAAUAUUUUUAGAGCUAGACAGAGUUCCAAUAUUUUUAUAGCUAGACAGCGUUCCAAUAUUUUUUAGUUAGACAGCAUUCCAAUACUUUUUAGAGCUAGAAAGAGUUACAAUACUUUUUAGAGCUAGACAGUAUUCCAGUACUUUUAGAGCUAGACAACGUUCCAAUACUUUUAGAGCUAGACAGCAUUCCAAUAUGUUGAGCUAGACAGUGUUCCAAUACUUUCAAAGCUAGACAGAGUUCCAAUACUUUUGCAGCUAAACAGAGUUCCAGUCCUUCUGUAGAUAGAGUUCCAAUAUUUUUAGAGCUAGAAUUCCAAUAUUUUUAGAUCUAGACAGUGUUCCAGUACUUUUGGAGCUAGACAGCAUUCCAAUACUUUUAGAGCUAGACAGCAUUCCAAUAUUUUUAUAGAUAGACAGCGUGCCAAUACUUUUGGAGCUAGACAGUGUUCCAAUAUUUUUUAGAGUUAGACAGCGUUCCAAUACUUUUAGAGCUAGACAGCAUUCCAAUACUUUUUAGAGCUUGACUGCAUUCCAAUACUUUUCGAGCUAGACAGCAUUCCAAUACUUUUAGAGCUAGACAGCGUUCCAAUAUUUUUAUAGAUAGACAGCGUUCCAAUACUUUUUCGAUCUAGACAGCGUUCCAAUACUUUUAGAGCUAGACAGCAUUCCAGUACUUUUAGAACUAGGCAGAGUUCCAGCAGUUUUGGAGCUGGACAGCAUUCCAAUAGUUUGUGCUAGACAGAGUUCCAAUACUUUUGCAGCUAGACAGAGUUCCAAUAUUUUUAGAGCUAGACAGCAUUUCAACACUUGUAGAGCUAGACAGAGUUCCAAUACUUUUCAGCUAGACAUCAUUCCAAUAUUUUUAGAGCUAGACAGCGUUCCAAUAUUCUUAGAGCUAGAGAGCAUUCCAAUAUUUUUAGA
Ictalurus punctatus (channel catfish) is the source of this 3355-nucleotide long non-coding RNA. Lineage: Eukaryota; Metazoa; Chordata; Actinopteri; Siluriformes; Ictaluridae. The record is from Ensembl.